Molecule: ribosomal RNA, 274 nt
Filed under: uncultured bacterium
Lineage: Bacteria
Description: partial 16S ribosomal RNA
Rfam family: Bacterial small subunit ribosomal RNA
Source: RNAcentral
AUACGGGGGGGACGAGCGUUGUUCGGAUUUACUGGGCGUAAAGGGCGCGUAGGCGGGCCCUCAAGUCGGGUGUGAAAACUGGUGGCUCAACUGCCAGCCUGCAUUCGAUACUGAGGAUCUUGAGUACGGGAGAGGAAAGCGGAAUUCCAGGUGUAGCGGUGAAAUGCGUAGAUAUCUGGAAGAACACCGGUAGCGAAGGCGGCUUUCUGGACCGAUACUGACGCUAAAGCGCGAAGGCUUGGGUAGCAAACAGGAUUAGAAACCCCAGUAGUCC